RNAcentral lists this long non-coding RNA (996 nucleotides) under Fukomys damarensis (Damara mole-rat). RNAcentral describes it as "lncRNA (ENSFDAG00000023819.1)". Lineage: Eukaryota; Metazoa; Chordata; Mammalia; Rodentia; Bathyergidae. The record is from RNAcentral.
AUGAUAAACAGGCAUCUCUGGCCAGGGGUCUGGGAGCAGAGCCACUUGGUUCCCAGGGCGGGUUUCUUGUUUCCCUGCAGGCAGGUGUUGGCAGGGAUAACGCAGAAGCCUUUGUCCCCUCUGGUCAUUCCACAGCUUGGAUUCUGUCUCUGGCCAGGUCCCAGAGAUGCCGGCUGCUUUCCUCCGGCGGAAGAAGCUGCUCUUUCUGUGUGCAGAUGGUCCCGUUGCAGGACACCUCGGUCACUGGAGAGCAGGCUGGCAGGAGAGUUCCCCUUCCCCAGAGCAGGACGGUGGCUGGGUGGAAAUGACCUUGAGGUGGGAGGAAUGGGGCCUAACUGGCCACUCGGUGACCCUGAGAAGAGGGCAGGAAAGCACGUUGACUCUGACUCGCUGCAGGGAAGAGUUAAAACACGGAGGCGAAGUUGUUUACCCGGAGAGGGACCAUGGAGGGUGGGGACAGGUUUGAGCUGAGCCAGUCGGCUGGUUCCUACCGGUGGUGUCCGAAAGGACCUGGUCAAGGAAGUACACCCGAGGAGAGAAAAGCCUGGAGACUCAGUGACCGGGACUGCCGCAGCGGAGAGGCGCUGGCCAGCGAAAGAAAGCGACAGAUGGCACAAAGAAAGCAUAAUGUGAAAUAGGAAGAAAAGGUCCACAGGGGAAGUAGGCAAAGAAAAGAUGAGGAAAGAAGGAAAACAUGGAAACAAAGCUUUGGUAAAUAGGGAGGGGUGAAAGCGAGGGAAGUGGAAUGGGAAAAACAAGAACCAAGGUAAAUACAGAGUCAGUCAUAUCAUAUACCUGCCAUGUAUAUCACGUACGAGUUCCCAACAGUGAAUGUGAUCGUAAUGUGAACUCAAUAAAAACUGAGAGAAAAGGAACGUGUGGGCAGUGUCGCAGCGCUUGCUUAUCAAAGAUCUGUCAGACAGGCUGUGCUUCGUGGAGAACCUGUGGGGUAUGUGCAUUUCCAAUUGCUAUUCCUCUUGACCCUCACAAGCCACA